This 251-nucleotide ribosomal RNA is filed under the name uncultured bacterium. RNAcentral describes it as "partial 16S ribosomal RNA". It matches the Rfam family "Bacterial small subunit ribosomal RNA", at positions 525 to 775 of the family's 1533-position model. The record is from RNAcentral.
ACGUAGGGAGCGAGCGUUAUCCGGAUUUAUUGGGUGUAAAGGGUGCGUAGACGGGAAGAUAAGUUAGUUGUGAAAUCCCUCGGCUUAACUGAGAAACUGCAACUAAAACUGUUUUUCUUGAGUACUGGAGAGGAAAGUGGAAUUCCUAGUGUAGCGGUGAAAUGCGUAGAUAUUAGGAGGAACACCAGUGGCGAAGGCGACUUUCUGGACAGAAACUGACGUUGAGGCACGAAAGUGUGGGGAGCAAACAG